This is a long non-coding RNA of Neofelis nebulosa (Clouded leopard), 443 nucleotides long. RefSeq lists it as uncharacterized. The record is from RefSeq and is a predicted model, not a curated record. NCBI's taxonomy places the organism in Eukaryota, Metazoa, Chordata, Mammalia, Carnivora, Felidae. The transcript is spliced from 2 exons.
CCAGCUCAUCGCCACCCCGCCAUCCCCCAUUCUGAAGAGGUUUCCGUGUGCCCGUGACGUGCGGGACACCGGGCUACAGCCAACCAUGGGGUUGUUCCCCUCGGCACGUCACUUCCCCUCUCCCGCCCCCAGGUGAGAUCGCUGGUGCUCAGAGAUGUCAAACAAGUCGCCUGAAGUCACACAGCUGGUGAGCAGCAGAGUCUGAAUGCAAACCCAGACCCCCGGGUCCACGGGUGGCUUCCCACCCUCUGCUGUGCUGUCCUAUCCCUUCGUACCGCCAGCACACAUCACCCGACCGCCUCCCCCACUCGACCACGUCCCCCCCGAGGGUGGGAGCCGCUGUCUCCGUGUUGAACCCACAGGACCGCACACAGUGCCUGACCCAGCAGAGCAGUUUCUACUAAAUGUUUACUGAACAAGUAAAUGACCGCACGAAUGCCUAA